This 460-nucleotide ribosomal RNA is filed under the name uncultured bacterium. RNAcentral's name for it is "partial 16S ribosomal RNA". It matches the Rfam family "Bacterial small subunit ribosomal RNA", at positions 338 to 795 of the family's 1533-position model. The record is from RNAcentral.
CCUACGGGUGGCAGCAGUGAGGAAUAUUGGUCAAUGGUCGCGAGACUGAACCAGCCAAGUAGCGUGAGGGAGGACGGUACUACGGGUUGUAAACUUCUUUUGUCAAGGAAUAAAGUGAGGCACGUGUGCCUUUAUGUGUGUACUUGAUGAAUAAGUAUCGGCUAACUCCGUGCCAGCAGCCGCGGUAAUACGGAGGAUACGAGCGUUAUCCGGAGUUAGUGGGUUGAAAGGGAGAGUAGACGGGUUGUUAAGUCAGUGGUGAAAGUUUGAGGCUCAACCGUCACAUUGCAAUUGAGAAUGGCAGUCUUGAGUACAGUUGAGGUAGCCGGAAUUCGUGGUGUAGCGGUGAAAUGCGUAGAUAUCACGAAGAACUCCGAUUGCGAAGGCAGCUUACUAGCCCGCCACUGACAGUGAUGCUCGAAAGUGUGGGUAUCAAACAGGAUUAGAUACCCGUGUAGUC